This 301-nucleotide ribosomal RNA is filed under the name uncultured bacterium. Its description in RNAcentral is "partial 16S ribosomal RNA". It matches the Rfam family "Bacterial small subunit ribosomal RNA", at positions 509 to 807 of the family's 1533-position model. The record is from RNAcentral.
CAGUCGCCACGGUAAUACGGAGGGGGCUAGCGUUGUUCGGAAUUACUGGGCGUAAAGCGCACGUAGGCGGCUUGGUAAGUUAGAGGUGAAAGCCCGGAGCUCAACUCCGGAAUUGCCUUUAAGACUGCCGAGCUAGCAGGUGAGAGAGGUAAGUGGAAUUCCGAGUGUAGAGGUGAAAUUCGUAGAUAUUCGGAAGAACACCAGUGGCGAAGGCGGCUUACUGGCUCAUACUGAACGCUGAGGUGCGAAAGCGUGGGGAGCAAACAGGAUUAGAUACCCCGGUAGUCCCUGUCUCUUAUAC